Molecule: ribosomal RNA, 381 nt
Filed under: uncultured Corynebacterium sp.
Lineage: Bacteria; Bacillati; Actinomycetota; Actinomycetes; Mycobacteriales; Corynebacteriaceae
Description: bacterial SSU rRNA
Rfam family: Bacterial small subunit ribosomal RNA
Source: RNAcentral
AAGGCCAGUGCUUGCACUGGUGCUCGAGUGGCGAACGGGUGAGUAACACGUGGGUGAUCUGCCCUGCACUUUGGGAUAAGCCUGGGAAACUGGGUCUAAUACCAGAUAGGACCACGUCUUGGAUGGUGUGGUGGAAAGUUUUUUCGGUGUGGGAUGAGCUCGCGGCCUAUCAGCUUGUUGGUGGGGUAAUGGCCUACCAAGGCGUCGACGGGUAGCCGGCCUGAGAGGGUGUACGGCCACAUUGGGACUGAGAUACGGCCCAGACUCCUACGGGAGGCAGCAGUGGGGAAUAUUGCACAAUGGGCGCAAGCCUGAUGCAGCGAUGCCGCGUGGGGGAUGACGGCCUUCGGGUUGUAAACUCCUUUCGCCAGGGACGAAGCG